This 592-nucleotide ribosomal RNA is filed under the name uncultured bacterium. Its description in RNAcentral is "bacterial SSU rRNA". It matches the Rfam family "Bacterial small subunit ribosomal RNA", at positions 338 to 943 of the family's 1533-position model. The record is from RNAcentral.
CCUACGGGAGGCAGCAGUGGGGAAUAUUGGACAAUGGGCGAAAGCCUGAUCCAGCCAUGCCGCGUGAGUGAUGAAGGCCUUAGGGUUGUAAAGCUCUUUUAUCCGGGAAGAUAAUGACUGUACCGGAAGAAUAAGCCCCGGCUAACUUCGUGCCAGCAGCCGCGGUAAUACGAAGGGGGCUAGCGUUGCUCGGAAUCACUGGGCGUAAAGGGCGCGUAGGCGGAUGAUUAAGUCGGAGGUGAAAGCCCAGGGCUCAACCCUGGAAUUGCCUUCGAUACUGAUCGUCUCGAGAAUGGAAGAGGUAAGUGGAAUACCGAGUGUAGAGGUGAAAUUCGUAGAUAUUCGGUGGAACACCAGUGGCGAAGGCGACUUACUGGUCCAUUUCUGACGCUGAGGCGCGAAAGCGUGGGGAGUCAAACAGGAUUAGAUACCCUGGUAGUCCACGCCGUAAACGAUGAAUGCCAGCCGUUGGGGAGCUUGCUCUUCAGUGGCGCNGCUACGACUUAACGUACACUUCCGUCCGUCGGGAGGUACGGUCGCGAGAUAAACUACAAGAAGUAGACGCGNGAGAGNGCGAGCGACACGAGGAGAG